Molecule: ribosomal RNA, 614 nt
Filed under: uncultured soil bacterium
Lineage: Bacteria
Description: bacterial SSU rRNA
Rfam family: Bacterial small subunit ribosomal RNA
Source: RNAcentral
CCUGGGGAGUACGGUCGCAAGGCUAAAACUCAAAGGAAUUGACGGGGGCUCACACAAGCGGUGGAGCAUGUGGUUCAAUUCGAAGCAACGCGAAGAACCUUACCCGGGUUUGAAAUCCACGGAUGGGUCCGAUGAAAGUUGGAUACCCUGCCCGCAAGGGUGAAACGUGGACAGGUGUUGCAUGGCUGUCGUCAGCUCGUGUCGUGAGAUGUCGGGUUAAGUCCCUCAACGAGCGAAACCCUUGUCUCUAGUUGCCAACGGUUCGGCCGGGGACUCUAGAGAGACUGCCGUUGUGAAAACGGAGGAAGGUGGGGACGACGUCAAGUCAUCAUGGCCUUUAUGUCCGGGGCUACACACGUGCUACAAUGGACGGUACAAAGGGAUGCAAAAUCGCGAGAUCAAGCAAAACUCAGAAAACCGUCCCCAGUUCAGAUUGGAGGCUGCAACCCGCCUCCAUGAAGAUGGAAUCGCUAGUAAUCGCGGAUCAGCUACGCCGCGGUGAAUAUGUUCCUGGGCCUUGUACACACCGCCCGUCAAGCCACGAAAGCUGACAGUACCCGAAGUCGCGUACCCAACCGCAAGGAGGGAAGCGCCCACGGUAAGGUCGGUGAUGG